UACGUAGGGGGCAAGCGUUAUCCGGAAUCACUGGGCGUAAAGGGUGCGUAGGUGGUCCAUCAAGUCAGGAGUGAAAGGCAGCGGCUUAACCGCUGUAAGCUCUUGAAACUGACGGACUUGAGUGCAGGAGAGGUAAGUGGAAUUCCUAGUGUAGCGGUGAAAUGCGUAGAUAUUAGGAGGAACACCAGUGGCGAAGGCGACUUACUGGACUGUUACUGACACUGAGGCACGAAAGCGUGGGGAGCAAACAGGAUUAGAAA
This 260-nucleotide ribosomal RNA is filed under the name uncultured bacterium. RNAcentral describes it as "partial 16S ribosomal RNA". It matches the Rfam family "Bacterial small subunit ribosomal RNA", at positions 524 to 784 of the family's 1533-position model. The record is from RNAcentral.